UACGUAGGGUGCGAGCGUUAAUCGGAAUUACUGGGCGUAAAGCGCACGUAGGCGGCGACGUAAGUCGGGUGUGAAAGCCCCGGGCUCAACCUGGGAAUUGCAUUCGAGACUGCAUUGCUGGAGUACGGAAGAGGAAGGCGGAAUUCCCGGUGUAGCGGUGAAAUGCGUAGAUAUCGGGAGGAACAUCAGUGGCGAAGGCGGCCUUCUGGUCCAGUACUGACACUCAAGUGCGAAAGCGUGGGGAGCAAACAGG
This 253-nucleotide ribosomal RNA is filed under the name uncultured bacterium. RNAcentral describes it as "partial 16S ribosomal RNA". It matches the Rfam family "Bacterial small subunit ribosomal RNA", at positions 524 to 776 of the family's 1533-position model. The record is from RNAcentral.